GACGUAGGGCGCGAGCGUUGUCCGGAUUUAUUGGGCGUAAAGAGCUCGUAGGCGGCUCAUCGCGUCUGCCGUGAAAACCCGCAGCUCAACUGCGGGCUUGCGGUUGAUACGGGUGGGCUGGAGUUCGGCAGGGGAGACUGGAAUUCCUGGUGUAGCGGUGAAAUGCGCAGAUAUCAGGAGGAACACCGGUGGCGAAGGCGGGUCUCUGGGCCGAUACUGACGCUGAGGAGCGAAAGCGUGGGGAGCGAACAGG
This 253-nucleotide ribosomal RNA is filed under the name uncultured bacterium. Its description in RNAcentral is "partial 16S ribosomal RNA". It matches the Rfam family "Bacterial small subunit ribosomal RNA", at positions 524 to 776 of the family's 1533-position model. The record is from RNAcentral.